Molecule: unclassified non-coding RNA, 768 nt
Filed under: Hevea brasiliensis (rubber tree)
Lineage: Eukaryota; Viridiplantae; Streptophyta; Magnoliopsida; Malpighiales; Euphorbiaceae
Source: RNAcentral
GUCUCUCUUUUCCCCUUUACUUCUUUUCUGGUGGGAGUGAGAGAAGUUGUUGGGUGGAUGGGUUGGCAUUGGGCAAUACAUCGGUAGUUAUUUGAAAAUCCUUUGAAAUGUGCGACUCUGGGAACUUCUUGAUAUUUAUUCAUUGUCUAGAUUUGAAAUCCAGAAUGGUUGGCUUUUACACUUUCGCUCAGAUAAAUAGGUAUGUGUGCCUUGUAGCUGUGUUAGAUCUCAACCAUUGCUUUACAUGCAAGAAGAUGAUCAGUUGAUUACCUUCCUUUUGCCUAAGUUCCAGUUGGUAGGAAGAUAGUAUAUCAGCUUAAGUUCCAUUUGUCAAGGAAAUAGGAUAUCAACAUACUGAAAUGGAAAGCAAACUUCAUGCCAACUUUUUGGGCGUCAUUGCCUUGUGCACCUAGACUUUAGAGGGAAGGAACAGCACAGUUAUUUUUGGUAGCUUGAUCUUAUUCUAUUAAACAUAAUUGCUGAUAGGCAUUUUACUUGUUCUCAAAUCCAUGCUGUUGGUGGUUUUUUUCCAAAAAUAUUCUUUAAGUGGGAGUUUAUGGAAUAUCAUAUGGUCUUAGCAGCUAUUUUCCCUCUGUGGCUAGGGCCACAGCCUUGGAAUUGAAUAAAAGUAAAGGACUAAAAAGCCCUUCAAUGCCCAUUCUCUCUGUUUGCCAGUUUGCCUGCUAUCUUUGCACUAUAGACAUUGCAUUUUUUUUUUAAUUUUUUCGAAGAGCAAUUGGAAUACGAUACCAUGACUAUAUGAACAGA